AAGCAUAAAGCACUGUGCAAACAAAGUGAAAUUAAAUGCAAGCUACUACAUAAAUGGCACUCAAGUAUGGAGUUCUCUGAGCCUUUGUUUACAAGAAAGAGGAGCUACGUGAAUCCAGCUAAAAUACCUGCCUUCUGUCGACAGAAUACUCUCCAACUGGACCAAGAGGAGAGUAUUUAAGAGGAUGGGUUUGAGGCAAGACAGCACACAGCUCCUGGAAAUCUACCAGCCAGCAAGAGCUGCAACCACAAGCUGGACUCUGGUCAGACUGGAGAAGUCCUCAACCCAUCAUCCCAGGAUACUGGCAUCCACCUAUGUAUACAAGAAGCUGGCCUUCAAGUAUUGGGAUCCCUGCACUAACAAUAAGAAAUAGCACCAAAAUUUUGUGAGGAUAAUGGCAUACAAAUGACUUGCUGUAAUUGGUGUUUCUACCCCACAAUGCAAUGAAGUCCAUUGUACCUGAGAUAAUGGGACUCUCUCACGAAGUUGCUGCAUUGUUACCAAGCAACAAGAA
Molecule: long non-coding RNA, 514 nt
Organism: Marmota monax (woodchuck)
Lineage: Eukaryota; Metazoa; Chordata; Mammalia; Rodentia; Sciuridae
Exons: 3
Source: RefSeq, a predicted model, not a curated record